AUAUUUACCUGACAGGGGAGAUACCAUGAUCUUGAAAGUGGUUUUCCCAGGGCAAGGCUCAUACAUAGCAUUCCAGGUGUACUGAUCCCUGAGAUUUUCACAAAUGUGGAAAACCUGACUGCAAAAGGUGAUC
This 133-nucleotide small nuclear RNA is filed under the name Nannospalax galili (Upper Galilee mountains blind mole rat). Its description in RNAcentral is "U1 spliceosomal RNA (ENSNGAG00000003138.1)". It matches the Rfam family "U1 spliceosomal RNA". From Rfam's summary of the family: U1 is a small nuclear RNA (snRNA) component of the spliceosome (involved in pre-mRNA splicing). Its 5' end forms complementary base pairs with the 5' splice junction, thus defining the 5' donor site of an intron. There are significant differences in sequence and secondary structure between metazoan and yeast U1 snRNAs, the latter being much longer (568 nucleotides as compared to 164 nucleotides in human). Lineage: Eukaryota; Metazoa; Chordata; Mammalia; Rodentia; Spalacidae. The record is from RNAcentral.